UGGGGAAUCUUGCGCAAUGGGCGAAAGCCUGACGCAGCGACGCCGCGUGAGGGAUGAAGGCCCUCGGGUUGUAAACCUCUUUCGGCAGGGACGAAGCGAAAGUGACGGUACCUGCAGAAGAAGCCCCGGCUAACUACGUGCCAGCAGCCGCGGUAAGACGUAGGGGGCGAGCGUUGUCCGGAUUCAUUGGGCGUAAAGCGCGCGCAGGCGGCCCGGUAAGUCGGAUGUGAAAUCCCACGGCUCAACCGUGGAACUGCAUUCGAUACUGUCGGGCUAGAGGCAGGUAGGGGAGAUCGGAAUUCCUGGUGUAGCGGUGAAAUGCGCAGAUAUCAGGAGGAACACCGGUGGCGAAGGCGGAUCUCUGGGCCUGUCCUGACGCUCAGGCGCGAAAGCUAGGGGAGCGAACAG
Molecule: ribosomal RNA, 408 nt
Filed under: uncultured bacterium
Lineage: Bacteria
Description: bacterial SSU rRNA
Rfam family: Bacterial small subunit ribosomal RNA
Source: RNAcentral